UGGCUAGGACGGUAGAGAAUUGGAAAAGAAGAGGACCUAAACCCAUUUAUUAUGUUCUUUUAUCAGCACUAGAAAUAGAGUUUUUGUUUUGGAAAAAUGUGCCAGCCACUUAUAAUCUUCUUUAGGUACCAAGUACUUUUCCUUGGAGGGGUAAUUCUUUUCCCUUUCUUGUCUGAGUUGACAGAGCUUGACCAAGAAACAGAAUUAUAUACUGACCCCCCAGCACCAGGGGUGAGUAUAUAAUUGAAGCCUAAGUCAUUAUUUUCUAACGUUGAUUGUAUACAAUGUCAAUGGACAACAACUCAAUUGUAUGACAUCCCCCAAGCCUCAGGGAUUGAUUCGGGAUGGUCAGACGAUGACCUGGUUCUGGUCAAUAAGACUCAGGCCUUGAAUAUUUGUGGGGGUUGCUUAGAAGACGCCCCAUAAGCCUGAAACUGCUAGCAGCUCUCUGGACUCUGUAAAGGGAGGAACUGCCUGAGACAGACAAACAGAGUUGACUGAUAGAGAAAGACUGGGUUUUGUUGACAUUGAAGCUGGCUUUACCUGGAUAGGUGAAUUUACAUGUGAUUAAGUUUAACUUGCUUUCUGCCUUAAUCUAGGCUAAGCAGGGCCCCUACUUAAAGAUCAUUGCUACUAAAAAUUAUUGAUAUACCCAUUCAUAGACUUUAAAGAAAAUGCCAGUGGAGAAUUCCCUGGUGGUCUAGAGAUUAGGACUCCAUGCUUCCAAUGACAGGGGUUGGGGUUCGAUCCCAGGUUGGGGAACUAAGAUCCCAUAAGCCAAGUGGUGCAGCCAGGGGAAAAAAAGAAAGAAGAUGCCGGUAAAGGGUUGUCCUUAAAGAGGAUCUUGCCGCUGAAAUGGGCUCUUUUGCUCUAUUCUGGGCUUCCCUGGUGGCUCAGAUGGUAAAAAAUCUGCCUGCAACGCAGAAGACCCGGCUUCCAUCCCUGAGUUGGGAUGUCUCCUCCCCGGCACUUCGUCACACAUCGGCGGCGGCGGAAGGCGCGACGGCAGAGGAAAACUUCUCGCUGCGGUGAGCGCUCAACCAGACUGCGCUGCGCCGCGCCGAGCCGGGGCCGCCGCUCCGGCCGCGGGAGCCUGACGUCUCCCCACUUCGUAUUGAUUUGGAGGAACUUGAGUGAGAGAGAAUCGUGUUUAUAAUGAUAUGAACACCUCUUUUUCCCUUUGGAGGGGACUUAGGAUGUGACUAUAUAAAACAAAACCCACUUUUGUCAUGUGUGCGUGACAGCUCCAACUGAGAAUCUUGCAAACUUUAUACACAAAACAAAGCCAUCACUGAUGUUACUGCCAGGAUGCAGGAGCUACUGGCCAGAGAUCCCCACUAAGAACUCACUCCCACAUUUCCAGAUGAGUGCUACGAGAUGAGGUUCUUAAACUAAGACUCCUAAUUUGGUGCCCUGCUAAAAGGAAAAACCAAGGCAACCAAAAAUAGACAUACACUGACUCCUUAUACAGUUGAGAAUUUUGACAGAAUAACAUGCAGAGGAGUGGAGAAUUCAAGGUGGGUAGGAAGACUGGGGGAGAAGACGAUGGCACCCCACUCCAGUACUUUUGCCUGGAAAAUCCCAUGGACGGAGGAGCCUGAUAGGCUCCAGUCCAUGGGGUCGCUAAGAGUCUGGCAUGGCUGAGUGACUUAACUUUCACUUUUCCCUUUCAUGCAUUGGAGAAGGAAAUGGCAACCCACUCCAGUGUUCUUGCCUGGAGAAUCCCAGGGACAGAGGAGCCUAGUGGGCUGCUGUCUAUGGGGUCGCACAGAGUCGGACACGACUGCAGUGACUUAGCAGCAGCAGCAGGAAGACUGGGAUCACAAACGAAUGCAACACACCUUGGCAAAAAUAAAACCCAUCUAAAAAGAACAGGCCAAAUAAAAUUAAAAAGUAAAUAAUUAAAAUAAAAAGAACAGGCCUUGGGACUUCCCCGGUGCUCCAGUGGUUAAGAAUCCACCUUGCAACGCAGGGGUUUGAUCCCUGGUUGGGGAACUAAGAUCCUGUAAGACACAGAGCAAUUUAGCCCAUGUACCACAACUGCUGAGCCUGUGCACCACAAUGAAAGAUCCUGCAUGUAGAAACUAAGACCCAGCAUGGUCAAAUAAAUAAAAUAGAUUAAUUUAAAAAAGAACAGGCC
Long non-coding RNA from Bos taurus (domestic cattle), 2140 nucleotides. The record is from Ensembl. Lineage: Eukaryota; Metazoa; Chordata; Mammalia; Artiodactyla; Bovidae.